This 484-nucleotide ribosomal RNA is filed under the name uncultured bacterium. Its description in RNAcentral is "partial 16S ribosomal RNA". It matches the Rfam family "Bacterial small subunit ribosomal RNA", at positions 30 to 507 of the family's 1533-position model. The record is from RNAcentral.
AUUGAACGCUGGCGGCAGGCCUAACACAUGCAAGUCGAGCGGAUGAAGGGAGCUUGCUCCUGGCUUCAGCGGCGGACGGGUGAGUAAUGCCUAGGAAUCUGCCUGGUAGUGGGGGAUAACGUCCGGAAACGGGCGCUAAUACCGCAUACGUCCUGAGGGAGAAAGUGGGGGAUCUUCGGACCUCACGCUAUCAGAUGAGCCUAGGUCGGAUUAGCUAGUUGGUGGGGUAAAGGCCUACCAAGGCGACGAUCCGUAACUGGUCUGAGAGGAUGAUCAGUCACACUGGAACUGAGACACGGUCCAGACUCCUACGGGAGGCAGCAGUGGGGAAUAUUGGACAAUGGGCGAAAGCCUGAUCCAGCCAUGCCGCGUGUGUGAAGAAGGUCUUCGGAUUGUAAAGCACUUUAAGUUGGGAGGAAGGGAAGUAAGUUAAUACCUUGCUGUUUUGACGUUACCAACAGAAUAAGCACCGGCUAACUUCGUG